Molecule: ribosomal RNA, 508 nt
Filed under: uncultured bacterium
Lineage: Bacteria
Description: partial 16S ribosomal RNA
Rfam family: Bacterial small subunit ribosomal RNA
Source: RNAcentral
GAUGAACGCUAGCUACAGGCUUAACACAUGCAAGUCGAGGGGAAACGAUAGAGAAAGCUUGCUUUUUCUAGGCGUCGACCGGCGCACGGGUGAGUAACGCGUAUCCAACCUGCCCACCACUUGGGGAUAACCUUGCGAAAGUAAGACUAAUACCCAAUGACGUCUCUAGAAGACAUCUGAAAGAGAUUAAAGAUUUAUCGGUGAUGGAUGGGGAUGCGUCGGAUUAGCUUGUUGGCGGGGUAACGGCCCACCAAGGCGACGAUCAGUAGGGGUUCUGAGAGGAAGGUCCCCCACAUUGGAACUGAGACACGGUCCAAACUCCUACGGGAGGCAGCAGUGAGGAAUAUUGGUCAAUGGACGAGAGUCUGAACCAGCCAGGUAGCGUGCAGGAUGACGGCCCUAUGGGUUGUAAACUGCUUUUAUAAGGGAAUAAAGUGAGAGUCGUGACUCUUUUUGCAUGUACCUUAUGAAUAAGGACCGGCUAAUUCCGUGCCAGCCGCCGCGGUAA